CACGUUGAUCCUAAUGAUGUGCCACUAUCUACAUUAAUUGAGCAAAACAAUGAUGCGACUGAUGUGAAUUUUGUCGCUAGAAAUAGUUUCAACAACAAUGCUUAUACAGGGAAUUUCAAUUCUAGACCGUAUACUGGUGAUCCCUCUAAUAAUUAUGGUAAUUCCUAUUAUAAUUCAUAUAAUAAUAAUACGAUACCUACUGAACUUGAGAAUAACAUUAAAGAAUUUAUUAGUUCUCAAAACAUUUUCAAUGCCAUGGUAGAAGAAAACCUACAUAAAGUUGAUAAUAUGGCUAGAAACAUGGAUAUAAUUGCUCAUGAUGUGGAAACUCUUAAAAUUAAAAUUAUGCCACAUAAAAUUUGA
RNAcentral lists this ribosomal RNA (363 nucleotides) under Triticum aestivum (bread wheat). RNAcentral describes it as "partial small subunit ribosomal RNA". Lineage: Eukaryota; Viridiplantae; Streptophyta; Magnoliopsida; Poales; Poaceae. The record is from RNAcentral.